GGUCGCCGCCCGCAUGCGUCCGCGGACGGCGUGCACUUCUCUCUCAGUAAGACAUCGCGACCCGUUCGACGUCGGCCUAAGCGCCGCCCGGGAGCCCAGCGGCAGCCUCGGCUGCCGCCGGACCGCGGCGGUCGCCGGCCGGCCGUCGGACGGUAGAUAUCGUGAAACGCGCACGCGCUCAGCGCGUCCGGCCCGACGCAAGGCGUCGCCGUAUCCGAAGUCCUGCCACAGCGCGGUCUUCGGUGCGGCGCGCCUGCUUAUCGCAGCCGUGCAGUCUCGGACCGUGCGCGUCUCGGUCGGCGAUGAUUACGUUUCGGGCACUCGCAGGACCCGUCUUGAAACACGGACCAAGGAGUCUAGCAUGUGUGCGAGUCAUUGAGAUUUAUAAAACUGAAAGGCGUAACGAAAGUGAAGGCGCGCGCUAGCCGCGCGCUCGGGGAGGAUGGAGGUCGAUCUCGCGUCGGCCUCCCGCACUCCCGAGGCGUCUCGUUCGCAAUCUGUCGAUGCAGGCGCGCUCAGAGCACAAAUGCUGGGA
Molecule: ribosomal RNA, 535 nt
Filed under: Antispila tateshinensis
Lineage: Eukaryota; Metazoa; Arthropoda; Insecta; Lepidoptera; Heliozelidae
Description: eukaryotic LSU rRNA
Rfam family: Eukaryotic large subunit ribosomal RNA (bases 347-535)
Source: RNAcentral